Molecule: long non-coding RNA, 1471 nt
Organism: Myotis davidii
Lineage: Eukaryota; Metazoa; Chordata; Mammalia; Chiroptera; Vespertilionidae
Exons: 6
Source: RefSeq, a predicted model, not a curated record
CUGAUUGGCCGACCGCAAGUGACGACACGCUCGCGCGCCGCAGGGCGGGGCGACAUCCGGGGGAGGAGCACUUCCGGCGGCCGCGCGGAGCUACCAGAACUAUUUGAUGAUGGUUCCAAAUCCAUGUACAGGAGACACUGCAGCGGGGAUUGCCGUGGAACCAGGCAGGCCUGUGUGCAACCUGCAUUGAACGCAGUGGGGAAGUUUGGACCCAGAGGCGCACAUACAGGAAGAGAUGCAGACUCAUCGACAAGCCAAGAGGGAGCCCGGAGCAACCUCCCCUCAGCCUCAGGAGGAGCCAGCCCCGCCGACACCUGGGCCUGGACGAUCCUGGGGGACCGUGAGGAAACAGUGUCUGUUGUGUAACCGCCCAGACUGGGGCGCUUGGUGCCAGCCCUAGCAGGGCCGCCUGUGUUUCCUCGCUCACUGACAGCGUCUCACGGUUGCUAGGAGUCCUGGGGAAGGAGAACCAGGGCCUGCGCAGCUCGGUCCGCCCCACCCGCCUGCCUCCAGCAGCCCAGUGACCCCCAGUUUCCGAAGAGAAGUCCAGCUCCCGCAGUGGCAACACCCUGGCCCAGCUCCUGUGUCGGCCACGGCCACGGCCACGGCCACGCUGGCCUCCCCCCGGCCCGGGCCUCGGCUUGCGGUUCCUCCUGCCGGCAUCUCUUCCCUCCGUGCACCCGGAUUCUAGAAGCUGAGCAUUUACCUUGCAGUCACCUGGCAACCAGCGUUGGGGACAAAAGCCACAGGCAAAGGAUCGCUGAACAGAAGGCUAGAAGGAGCCGGAUGGCCCCCAGCUGCCCUCACACCUGAACGUCCAUCCUCUGACUCCUGUGUGGGGCACAGAAGCCAAAGCCGCUGGGGCGCGCUGAGCCCGUCUGUCCAGGGUGACGUUACCCUCGCCAAGUGAGAUGCCGGUGGUCCCACUGCGACACGGGACGCUUCUUCCAGAUGCCAUGGUCUCUCCCACGUGAGAGAAAGGACGUCGGGCGCUCUUCUUUCCCCAAAGGACGUGAGCUCUUUACUCUUGGACCUCAUCGCACUCUGCACUCCCCGCAGUCCCCCCGGGUGUCUGUGCACAUCUGUUCUUGCCCUCCGGGCUCUACUGGAGAUGCACAUUGAACAGCAAAGCUGCUCGCUUUGUGCAGUGUCAGUGUUGAGCCCCACACGGUCCCUGACGCAGUGAUGUCUGACCCAGCCGUGUGGGUCUGGGCUGAAAUUCCACCAUGAACUUCUUUCCUGAAAAUCCACAUAAUUCUGUGUAUCUCCUUGAAACUUAAAGGAGUUGCUGGUGAGCUUCUCCGUGGAAGGACUUGUUUUGUUUGAAGUCCAAGGAGGCCACACAGGCCAGUCAGAGUUUGUUCUUAAGCAGAGGAAACCCCUGGAAGGAAGCACACGACGUGCGUGUGGAUGAAAUACAGGGUAAGCGAUGCAGGUCUGAGCCUUGGCCAGUGAACACCGGGCCGUAGAC